CUUCAGGACACACCUGGAGGAGAAGCCGCACGUGUGCCAGUUCUGCAGCCGUGGCUUCCGAGAGAAGGGCUCACUGGUGCGGCACGUGCGACACCACACAGGCGAGAAGCCGUUCAAGUGCUACAAGUGCGGCCGUGGCUUCGCUGAGCAUGGCACGCUGAACCGGCACCUGCGCACCAAAGGGGGCUGCCUGCUGGAGGUGGAGGAGUUGCUGGUGUCUGAGGAGAGCCCCACGGCAGCCACCACUGUCCUCGCGGAGGACCCGCACACAGUGUUGGUGGAAUUCUCGUCCGUGGUAGCUGACACCCAGGAGUAUAUCAUCGAGGUGGGUGUGGGGCCCUGGGGCCGUGUUGGGACCCGGGGGCAGCCAAGGCUGACCUCUGUCCUUCUGCCCAUCUGCCCAGGCCACUGCGGACGAUGCCGAGACCAGUGAGGCUACGGAGAUCAUCGAGGGCACCCAGACGGAGGUGAGGGGUGGGGCAGGCGGGGGCGGGGAGGCUCCCUGGCACAGCCGCUCUUGCUGAGCCGUGGCCCCGCAGGUGGACAGCCACAUCAUGAAGGUGGUGCAGCAGAUCGUGCACCAGGCUAGCGCCGGCCACCAGAUCAUCGUGCAGAACGUCACCAUGGACGAGGAGACGGCGCUGGGCCCAGAGGCGGCUGCCGCCGACACCAUCACCAUCGCCACCCCCGA
RNAcentral lists this small RNA (691 nucleotides) under Pongo abelii (Sumatran orangutan). Its description in RNAcentral is "retained intron". The record is from RNAcentral. Lineage: Eukaryota; Metazoa; Chordata; Mammalia; Primates; Hominidae.